Long non-coding RNA from Alligator mississippiensis (American alligator), 1316 nucleotides. RefSeq lists it as uncharacterized. Lineage: Eukaryota; Metazoa; Chordata; Crocodylia; Alligatoridae. The transcript has 3 exons. The record is from RefSeq and is a predicted model, not a curated record.
CUUGCCUUCUGCAGGUGGCUUAUGGGCUACCUGGUCAGUGGGCCCACUACACAGCAAAUUCCUGGGUGAGCUCUUCGUCUCCACCUCCCGCCUCUUUACAUAGAACAGAAGGGACAGAAUGGAGAAAAGGGGCUCGAAAAGCCACCGUUUGAGCGAGCAACACUCUGGGAGCAAAUUUACCAGUAGCCAGCCUCCAAGUCUCCCGAGUAGGCUGUUUCUGGAGCUGCUGGAGGCAUGUGGUUCAAGCAGCAUUUGAGAAGCAGAGCAAGAGGGAGAAGCAGCUUUGAAGUGACCUGAUGUUCAAAGACAGGUGCAGAAUAUCUCACAUCCUGAUGUGGAAACUCUGAAAUAAGGAACCAGAGAAUGCUGGAGACAGCCAAGAUCUGUGAGAUAUGAGCCCAACAGAUGCCAAACUGACUGCACCUAAAAAGAAAAUCUGCUCUUCAUAUGGUCCAUGAGAUUGAUCCUACCUAUUGCCUUCAGUGGGAGUUUUGCCACUAUCUUCAAGAGAUAUAGGAAUGGCCUCAUGGCCACCAAUACCCAGUUUGUUCUUCCCUUUAAAUUCCUUGUCUUUGUUUUCUUCUGCCAUAGAAAGGAGACUAAAAGAAUGCAAGAGCCACUAAUUGCACUGCUACCCCUCUGUUAUUACUUUUAUCUGUGGACUUGGUAAUUAGCAAUUAGGCUUUUAAUUUUGUUUCCUAGGAGCGCAAGAGCUGUAAUUAGGCAGCUCAGAAAUGUAAGAGCUUUGGAGGUGCAUUUUGUGUCUGUUUUGUUUAAACCUUUGUUGGGAAGGUGGCAUAUAAAUUGCACAGAUAAAUAUAUACAUACAUGCACACACAAAUAAAUAAAUAAAUACAUUCCUGGUCCUACUUGCCCUUUGCAGGGAGCCUGAGGGCUACAAAUAUCCCACAUGAAAAUUAGACUGAGGAUCAGAUUUUGAACACCCUUAACCAAUUCUUUUUAAAUCCAGAAGUACUGGACUUGAUCUAGCACUCUGAAACAGUCGGCACUCCUGGGGCCAUCAGUCACUUAAGGACCCGUGAAAGAAUUUCUAUGGUCAUUUAUAGUGGAUCAUGACUGCACUGGUUUUAAUCUCUUUAUUUCCAUUGUGCUGGUGCUGGUUAAUCUGGCAACACCAGGCCAUGCACUGAAACUGAUAGGUGGACAUGCCCACCAUAGUUUUGGAUCAGCAGGUAGCACGUAUAGGACAGGGCAUAUAUAAGCAGCUACUGUACAAGACAGGGGUGCUCAACCCCAACCCACAAGCCAUGUCAUGUAACUGGCCCCCAGGGGUCUGAUAAUGUGGUGCUGAGGGA